This 363-nucleotide long non-coding RNA is filed under the name Vulpes vulpes (red fox). RNAcentral describes it as "lncRNA (ENSVVUG00000012456.1)". Lineage: Eukaryota; Metazoa; Chordata; Mammalia; Carnivora; Canidae. The record is from RNAcentral.
AUGGCUGAGCACGUGAUUUGGGGACAGAUUAAAAAGUCUUCCUCAUGUGAACAAUUUGAAUUAUUUCACGAAUAUGUUUUUUUUUCAAUACUUACAGCCUUGCCCUGGAUUCUUCAUGGACUAAGACGGUAUGAAAAUAAAGCCCAGAAGGAGAACCUGGAGGUAGUUCUGUUAAAGGGCAGAAAACCAGAAUGGCGGUUGCUUAAUCUGACAGACAGGACAGCCAAGAGCCAAGUUCACAUCCUAGCCAUACAUUUGGAAGUCCGGAUCCUACCCACAUAAUUUAGGCACCUGAAUGAUAGAUAGUCUUACGUCUUGUAGUCUUUGAAUAAAAGGGGUGCAAAAGUAGCUCUUGUAAGUACC